UGCCAGCAGCCGCGGUAACACGGAGGGAGCGAACGUUAUUCGGUAUCACUGGGCUUAAAGCGUGCGUAGGCGGCCUAUUAAGUCAGUGGUGAAAGGUAUCAGCUUAACUGAUGACGUGCCAUUGAAACUGAUAGGCUUGAGUACAGACGAGGUAGGCGGAAUUUAUGGUGUAGCGGUGAAAUGCAUAGAUACCAUAAAGAACACCGAUAGCGAAGGCAGCUUACUAGGCUGAGACUGACGCUGAGGCACGAAAGCGUGGGGAGCGAACAGGAUUAGAUA
This 279-nucleotide ribosomal RNA is filed under the name uncultured bacterium. Its description in RNAcentral is "partial 16S ribosomal RNA". It matches the Rfam family "Bacterial small subunit ribosomal RNA", at positions 506 to 784 of the family's 1533-position model. The record is from RNAcentral.